RNAcentral lists this long non-coding RNA (2227 nucleotides) under Naja naja (Indian cobra). RNAcentral's name for it is "lncRNA (ENSNNAG00000002485.1)". Lineage: Eukaryota; Metazoa; Chordata; Lepidosauria; Squamata; Elapidae. The record is from RNAcentral.
AGCGCUAGAAUAAACACGUCUAUUAAUACCAGCAAAAGUUGUGUUCAGUAUCACACACUGCCAUAUUGUGGCUUUUUCAAUAUUGCAACCGUUUGCAAGCAGUCAAUCCUGACUCAUUAAAUAAACCACGAAUAAGCUUCGCGGUGUUUACUACUUGCACUGACUUCCAGGUAAACAGGUGCAAGUUUAAAGUCUAAGGCUAUAAUCUUACCUUCACUUACCUGAGCACAAGACUCACUGAACGCCAAGUCUCACUUUUCAACACCCCCAAGACUUGAGCUUUGUGCUUCAAGAGACCGAAGCGAGUCGCUUUCUCGCGAACUCAGCGCCACUUUCCCUCCCAAAGGGACGCCAAUACCGGCCCACCGACCAAGAUUGUUGUAAAAAGGAUGCACGACAUUAGCUUGACGGCUUUUGCCAACCGUCCCCUCAUCAUGGAUGAGACUGCACAAAAAUCUCUAGUCCGCAAGGCAACUGGGCGAGGACCGUAGCAAUAAUAUUAAAUCCCACGGCAAACCGGUUUUGUUUUUUUUACGCACCUCACCAAGCAGCAGCCCCGGCGAAGCGAGUCACUCUAGCAGCUGAGCCCAUGCACGCGGAGCCAAAAGCGCCGGGCGAGGGAGCGCGGUCCAAACCCGGGCGAGGCAAGCUUAGACGAAGCCCCCAAGCUUACCUCUUCGGCCUUGGCUGGAGGAAGGAAAAAGCAAAUCUCCACCAUUUUUUUUUAAUCACACCCGGUCUGGCUACCCUCGCUUCUCUCAAGGCAGAGCGAAGCUAAUGGCUAGGCUCUAUCCAAUGGCACCAGAAGCAGAGCCCAUGUGAUUGCUGGCGACGCCUUUUUUCCCCGCCUCGCAGUUCAGGUGCGGUUGCAACCGAGCCCCCGAAAGGAAAGUCCGGCGCGCGUACCCGGGUGCUUUUUUGAGGGGGGGGCGGUGUUUGCUCGUUUUUUAGAUUGGCCUCCAAUGGUGGGAAUGCUCCUCUGCACCGUGCCGGAGGACAGUUUUCCGUCCCUGGAAAUCUUCCUUGUGCUUCAGGCGAUUUUGUCUGGUACCCGCUCCUCUUCUGAGUUGUCUGAAUCUGAGUGCGUUCAGGGCCCAUUUCAGAUCUCCGUUUUGCACCGGCCAUCCAGCAAAGCUUUGGCAAGAGACUAUUGUCCUGGUUCUGACAGGUUUCUGCAUUGCACUUGCAAUCCUCCAAGCAGGCCAUUUUCUGCUUUCAGUAACCGCAGUCCUUGUUUCCGCAGUGGCCUCCACAGGCGCACCCGUGUAAGAACAAAGUAGAAAAUAGCAUCUGGAUGGGCAUUUCAAAUGAAAUGGAAUAUAGUUGAUGACUGAUAACAUAGAAUUGGAUCAUAAAGAACUGAAGUGAACCUGGAACUAGGUAAUAAGCCAACAAUAGAGAGUGAAAGUUGGUGUUGCAAAAUAGAAUGGCAAAUUACAACUACCAGGCUCCAAAAAUAACAGUGGAUGCAAGAUUGGUUGAUAACUUCAAUGGGAAGUAAAAUCAGAUUGAAAUUAGAACAUCUCAGCAGCUUUAAACGAAGGACAGUACUAAAUAAGGUAGGUCAGAUGAAAUCCUUGGCCAAAUUAAAAUCAGGAAGCCCAAAGAGUGUGACAGACAUUGAUAUCUGGUUUAUGGGUCUUCAACCUUUAUAGUCCAAUGGCCACAUUGCUAUGAGAGGAUUUGCAAAAUGAUAAUCAUGGAUGUAGCAGUAAAUUAUCAAGAACCAACAUACCAGAAGGCAUAAAGUGAUGCUAUUUCUCCCUAGCCACCCCACAAAUGUUUUCUAUCUAGUUGGUACCUUCCAAACAACACACUGAGAUGUAACCAUCAUUUUUAAUUUCAAAGAAUGUGACUCUGGUUCAUGUAGGAUGCAGAAAAGGUCUGACAAUAAAAUUCAGUCUAUAAGCUUCCCUUUUAUUUAUUUUUAACAAAAUAUUGAAUCAAGUAAAUCAUGAGGGGGCAAACGAUGUGUUGCCAAGUAUAUUGAUACAUGCACACAGCAAAUGGAUUCACAGGAUUGAUUAAAACUAUCCCAGGUGACCUGGAUCCAGACAGCAAGCAUAAUUAUAUGCCGCCCCGAGUCCUUUGGGAGAGGGGGCGGCAUAUAAGUUGAAUUAAUAAAUAAUUAUUUCAAGUUUUGUUCAAUAGCAUUAUUUGACUCCUCUACUUUCAGGCUCAAAUGUUGCAAGUCCAUAAAAUGCCUAAAGAAUCAUAAAAAUGCAAC